GGGGCCCGCACAAGGGGUGGAGUAUGUGUGUCGAUGCGACUCAACGCGAAGAACCAUACCAGGUCUUGACAUUGACUGCAAUCCCGAGAAAUCGGGACUUCCCUUCGGGGACAGGAAAACAGGUGGUGCACGGCUGUCGUCAGCUCGUGUCGUGAGAUGUUGGGUUAAGUCCCGCAACGAGCGCAACCCCUAUCGUUAGUUACCAUCAUUAAGUUGGGGACUCUAGCGAGACUGCCUGCGAUGAGCAGGAGGAAGGUGGGGAUGACGUCAAGUCAUCAUGCCCCUUAUGAACUGGGCUACACACGUGCUACAAUGGGGAGUACAAAGAGUCGCAAGUUGGUGACAACAAGCUAAUCUCAAAAAGCUCCUCUCAGUUCGGAUUGUAGUCUGCAACUCGACUACAUGAAGUUGGAAUCGCUAGUAAUCGCAAAUCAGCAACGUUGCGGUGAAUACGUUCUCGGGUCUUGUACACACCGCCCGUCACACCACGAGAGUUGGUUGCACCUGAAGUAGCAGGCCUAACCGUAAGGAGGGAUGCUCCUAAGGUGUGAUUAGCGAUUGGGGUGAAGUCGUAACAAGGUAUCCGUACCGGAAGGUGUGGAUGGAUCACCUCCUUUCUAAGGA
This 624-nucleotide ribosomal RNA is filed under the name Thiothrix sp. RNAcentral describes it as "bacterial SSU rRNA". It matches the Rfam family "Bacterial small subunit ribosomal RNA", at positions 916 to 1533 of the family's 1533-position model. The record is from RNAcentral. Lineage: Bacteria; Pseudomonadati; Pseudomonadota; Gammaproteobacteria; Thiotrichales; Thiotrichaceae.